UCNUGGGAUAACACUGACGCUCAUGCACGAAAGCGUGGGAGCAAACAGGAUUAGAUACCCUGGUAGUNCACGCCCUAAACGAUGUCUACUAGUUGUCGNGGAUUAAUUUCCUUGGUAACGCAGCUAACGCGUGAAGUAGACCGCCUGGGGAGUACGGUCGCAAGAUUAAAACUCAAAGGAAUUGACGGGGACCCGCACAAGCGGUGGAUGAUGUGGAUUAAUUCGAUGCAACGCGAAAAACCUUACCUACGCUUGACAUGUCCGGAACCCUGAAGAGAUUUGGGGGUGCUCGAAAGAGAGCCGGAACACAGGUGCUGCAUGGCUGUCGUCAGCUCGUGUCGUGAGAUGUUGGGUUNNNNNNCGCAACGAGCGCAACCCUUAUCAUUAGUUGCUACGCAAGGGCACUCUAAUGAGACUGCCGGUGACAAACCGGAGGAAGGUGGGGAUGACGUCAAGUCCUCAUGGCCCUUAUGUGUAGGGCUUCACACGUCAUACAAUGGUCGGUACAGAGGGUUGCGAAGCCGCGAGGUGGAGCCAAUCCCAAAAAACCGAUCGUAGUCCGGAUUGCGGUCUGCAACUCGA
This 582-nucleotide ribosomal RNA is filed under the name uncultured bacterium. RNAcentral's name for it is "bacterial SSU rRNA". It matches the Rfam family "Bacterial small subunit ribosomal RNA", at positions 727 to 1315 of the family's 1533-position model. The record is from RNAcentral.